UUUUUUCUUUUAUGGACUCAUUUUAUUAAAUAACUAUUACUACCUGCUUUUUAUCCAGAUUUUUCUUUAUUUUAGGAGGAAAAAACUCAACAGAAAUUCUUUUUUUUUUUUCAUUACUUCUGUCACUGGGAGGGUUUCUCCCUUAAGAGUGUGAGGCAAUCAUUUUAGAGAUUGCUUGAAGUUUCAAGGAAAUUUUGCCAAGUAGGGUCUGAUGUCUUGCAACAUGACCUAAUUCUAAUUAUUUUUCUGCAUUUGGGACACAGCCUUGGAGGGUGGAGUUGAAUCCUGCAGUCAUGGGUGUGAGGCAUCCAUCACCUCUGCAACACAGGUGCAGGAGAGAGGAGUGUUUGCCAUGCAGGUUGCUGUGGUGGUGGUUUGCAAACCAUUCAGCUUCUAAAGGUCCUGCUCCAGGAUGUCUGUGUGCUUUCUCUUGUAGCUGCUCAUGUCUGGACUGCUGUGCUCAUGCUCCUGCCAGCUAUUGAUGCUCCUUUAAUUGUCCUUACUUACACUUAGUAAAGUGGGUGAGUGAAAUGGUUCUGGCUGUGAGAGCCAAGGUCUCACAAAUUUCCUGGCCAGCAACACUGGUUUUUACACAGCUGGUUUGUAUCCUCAGCUGGUCUGAGCUGCAGAGCUGAGGGAGGGGCUCAGCUUUGCUAUCUUUAACCAUUCACAAGUUUGCUGACCCAAAUACUUCUAUAUUAAGCAUGGAGAGAGGCACUUCUAGUGCCAUGUUAAGAGGAAUGAAUCACCUUUCAACAUACCAGCCUGGUGCUUGAUGCACAAUCAGCACUGAUGUUUAGCUGCUGAAUGAAUGAAGUUUUGUAGGAGGACUCUUGUAAAGAAGGCUGUGUCUGCAGAAGUGCACAGCAAAGUCAGCAUGCAGACCCUAUGCCCUGGCUUUAUUUGAAGCUUUUGUACUAUAGCAUUCAUGUUGCUAAGGAUGUGGAAACUGUGAAGUUCAGGGGAAGGAAGAGAAGCUUUACACUGCUUUACCAAGUGUGCCAUGCUGUACAGAGGGGCUGCACGCUGCCAGCAUCACUCCAGGAUGAAAAGCCUGGUACUGGGCCCUCCACAGAAUGUGGCAGCAGAGUAAAUAGUUGGGACACACCUGCUCACUCCUUUUGCAUCCUGGCUCCACUGAGGACGAGUAUGUCCUCUCAUCCCUCUGUUCCCUCCCAUAUCUGCCCCCUGUUUUUUUUUCCCCUGUUAAAUUUUAUUUAAUCCUUCCAACAUUGUCCCAGCUUUUGAGGAUCUGUGAUAGAAGGAAUGAAAAGAUAGCUUUUCCAGCUUUUUCAACCCAGGUGGAGAGCAGGGAAUGGGUAAUUAUCUGGGAGCCACUGCGUGAGUGCUGGGCAGGCAGCUGAGAAGCCUCUGUGCAUGCACAGACCAAGUCCUGCCUGAACUGUGUGGAAAAGGCAAGGAUGUGCAUUUGCAGCAGCAAUCUCUUGGGCUAGAUAUUUUGCUCCCUGGGCAUGUAGGUGGAUUUCUUCUGACAUGAUUAAAAUUUGAUCCAACAUCUUCAAGCCUAAUCCCUUUAACUGUUUGAAGCUGCUGCAUUUUGCUCUCCCUGAGUCUGUUCCACACUCUUUUGGAUAGAUGUAAGCUCACUGCAUUUCUGAACAAUAUUUCUGCUGCUUUGAUGUGUCAGAAAGCGGCUGUUAAAGCUGAUGAAGUGGCUGACCCAAAGUCACAGGGAGCCUGAGGCUAGGACCCAGUUUUUCUCCAGCUGUAUUGCUCUUCUGUUCCCCUUGUACAGGAUAGCAGAGGGCCCCGCAGACAUGAGGCUCCUUGUGUAGCUCCUAUACCAGCAGCACUGCAUCCUUGUCUUCAGUCUAGCCAAGUCACUGAGCCAGCCAUUGCUCCAUCUCCUCCAGGCUGCUCUUGGCUCUAUUCUUGGCUAUUUAGUGCCUCACCAAGGGUACAGAGACAGCAGUUGGCUACUGGGAGUAAAUUUUCAAAACAGAUGGAGGAAAAUAAAAGACAUAGUGGCUUUUCUUAGUCA
RNAcentral lists this long non-coding RNA (2002 nucleotides) under Cyanistes caeruleus (blue tit). RNAcentral describes it as "lncRNA (ENSCCEG00000000143.1)". The record is from RNAcentral. Lineage: Eukaryota; Metazoa; Chordata; Aves; Passeriformes; Paridae.